UGAGGAAUAUUGGACAAUGGAGGAAACUCUGAUCCAGCCAUGCCGCGUGAGUGAAGAAGGCCUUCGGGUUGUAAAGCUCUUUUACCCCUGACGAUAAUGACGGUAAGGGGAGAAAAAGCCACGGCUAACUUCGUGCCAGCAGCCGCGGUAAUACGAAGGUGGCAAGCGUUGUUCGGAUUUACUGGGCGUAAAGAGUGCGUAGGCGGUUUAACAAGUCAGGAGUGAAAUCCCGGGGCUCAACCCCGGAAUUGCUUUUGAAACUGUUUUAACUUGAAUCCGGUAGAGGUUGGCGGAAUUCUCAGUGUAGAGGUGAAAUUCGCAGAUAUUGAGAGGAACACCAGUGGCGUAAGCGGCCAACUGGACCGGUAUUGACGCUGAGGCACGAAAGUAUGGGUAGCAAAC
This 402-nucleotide ribosomal RNA is filed under the name uncultured bacterium. RNAcentral's name for it is "bacterial SSU rRNA". It matches the Rfam family "Bacterial small subunit ribosomal RNA", at positions 355 to 773 of the family's 1533-position model. The record is from RNAcentral.